ACUCUUGUGGUGUAAUAGCAACACAUCCAGCCUCUGGGUGGAAGAUUCCAGGUGCAAAUCCUGGCAAGAGUG
Molecule: transfer RNA, 72 nt
Filed under: Alosa alosa (allis shad)
Lineage: Eukaryota; Metazoa; Chordata; Actinopteri; Clupeiformes; Clupeidae
Description: tRNA-OTHER
Source: RNAcentral